Molecule: ribosomal RNA, 446 nt
Filed under: uncultured Rothia sp.
Lineage: Bacteria; Bacillati; Actinomycetota; Actinomycetes; Micrococcales; Micrococcaceae
Description: bacterial SSU rRNA
Rfam family: Bacterial small subunit ribosomal RNA
Source: RNAcentral
CCUACGGGAGGCAGCAGUGGGGAAUAUUGCACAAUGGGCGCAAGCCUGAUGCAGCGACGCCGCGUGAGGGAUGACGGCCUUCGGGUUGUAAACCUCUGUUAGCAGGGAAGAAGAGAGAUUGACGGUACCUGCAGAGAAAGCGCCGGCUAACUACGUGCCAGCAGCCGCGGUAAUACGUAGGGCGCGAGCGUUGUCCGGAAUUAUUGGGCGUAAAGAGCUUGUAGGCGGUUUGUCGCGUCUGCUGUGAAAGGCCGGAGCUUAACUCCGUGUAUUGCAGUGGGUACGGGCAGACUAGAGUGCAGUAGGGGAGACUGGAAUUCCUGGUGUAGCGGUGGAAUGCGCAGAUAUCAGGAGGAACACCGAUGGCGAAGGCAGGUCUCUGGGCUGUAACUGACGCUGAGAAGCGAAAGCAUGGGGAGCGAACAGGAUUAGAUACCCCAGUAGUC